Molecule: ribosomal RNA, 468 nt
Filed under: uncultured bacterium
Lineage: Bacteria
Description: partial 16S ribosomal RNA
Rfam family: Bacterial small subunit ribosomal RNA
Source: RNAcentral
GACGAACGCUGGCGGCGUGCUUAACACAUGCAAGUCGAACGGUGAUGCUCCAGCUUGCUGGAGUGGAUCAGUGGCGAACGGGUGAGUAACACGUGAGCAACCUGCCCCAGACUCUGGAAUAAGCGCUGGAAACGGCGUCUAAUACUGGAUACGAAACUGGCCCGCAUGGGCAUGGUAUGGAAAGUUUUUCGGUUUGGGAUGGGCUCGCGGCCUAUCAGCUUGUUGGUGAGGUAAUGGCUCACCAAGGCGACGACGGGUAGCCGGCCUGAGAGGGCGACCGGCCACACUGGGACUGAGACACGGCCCAGACUCCUACGGGAGGCAGCAGUGGGGAAUAUUGCACAAUGGGCGAAAGCCUGAUGCAGCGACGCCGCGUGAGGGAUGACGGCCUUCGGGUUGUAAACCUCUUUCAGCAGGGAAGAAGCGAAAGUGACGGUACCUGCAGAAGAAGCACCGGCUAACUACGUG